Molecule: ribosomal RNA, 3112 nt
Filed under: Salmonella enterica subsp. houtenae str. CFSAN000552
Lineage: Bacteria; Pseudomonadati; Pseudomonadota; Gammaproteobacteria; Enterobacterales; Enterobacteriaceae
Description: 23S ribosomal RNA
Rfam family: Bacterial large subunit ribosomal RNA
Source: RNAcentral
GGGUUGUGAGGUUAAGCGACCAAGCGUACACGGUGGAUGCCCUGGCAGUCAGAGGCGAUGAAGGACGUGCUAAUCUGCGAAAAGCGCCGGUAAGGUGAUAUGAACCGUUAUAAGCGGCGAUGUCCGAAUGGGGAAACCCAGUGUGAUUUGUCACACUAUCAUUAACUGAAUCCAUAGGUUAAUGAGGCGAACCGGGGGAACUGAAACAUCUAAGUACCCCGAGGAAAAGAAAUCAACCGAGAUUCCCCCAGUAGCGGCGAGCGAACGGGGAGGAGCCCAGAGCCUGAAUCAGCAUGUGUGUUAGUGGAAGCGUCUGGAAAGGCGCGCGAUACAGGGUGACAGCCCCGUACACAAAAGCGCACGUGCUGUGAGCUCGAUGAGUAGGGCGGGACACGUGGUAUCCUGUCUGAAUAUGGGGGGACCAUCCUCCAAGGCUAAAUACUCCUGACUGACCGAUAGUGAACCAGUACCGUGAGGGAAAGGCGAAAAGAACCCCGGCGAGGGGAGUGAAACAGAACCUGAAACCGUGUACGUACAAGCAGUGGGAGCCCCACCACUAAGCCAGUGGUGAACUCCACAUACGCAUCCUUUGCUGAGGAUACGGUGAGAGGGGCGAAGGCGACGGGCAGCCGCAAAAGAAGCAGAGGGGGCUUAGUGGGGGGGUGACUGCGUACCUGUUGUAUAAUGGGUCAGCGACUUAUAUUCUGUAGCAAGGUUAAACGCAUAGGGGAGCCGGAGGGAAACCGAGUCUUAAUUGGGCGUUAAGAUGCCGGGUAUAGACCCGAAACCCGGUGAUCUAGCCAUGGGCAGGUUGAAGGUUGGGUAACACUAACUGGAGGACCGAACCGACUAAUGUUGAAAAAUUAGCGGAUGACCUGUGGCUGGGGGUGAAAGGCCAAUCAAACCGGGAGAUAGCUGGUUCUCCCCGAAAGCUAUUUAGGUAGCGCCUCGUGAAUUCAUCUCCGGGGGUAGAGCACUGUUUCGGCCAGGGGGCCAUCCCGGCUUACCAAUCCGAUGCAAACUGCGAAUACCGGAGAAUGUUAUCACGGGAGACACACGGCGGGUGCUAACGUCCGUCGUGAAGAGGGAAACAACCCAGACCGCCAGCUAAGGUCCCAAAGUCAUGGUUAAGUGGGAAACGAUGUGGGAAGGCCCAGACAGCCAGGAUGUUGGCUUAGAAGCAGCCAUCAUUUAAAGAAAGCGUAAUAGCUCACUGGUCGAGUCGGCCUGCGCGGAAGAUGUAACGGGGCUAAACCAUGCACCGAAGCUGCGGCAGCGAACGUAUCACCCAAGACAACUUUGCACAGUUGACGAUUGACGGAGCGAAGCGACGUCAAAGCGUUUUACAACGUCGAGUUGGCUUAGGGAUACGUUCGUUGGGUAGGGGAGCGUUCUGUAAGCCGUUGAAGGUGGCCUGUGAGGGUUGCUGGAGGUAUCAGAAGUGCGAAUGCUGACAUAAGUAACGAUAAAGCGGGUGAAAAGCCCGCUCGCCGGAAGACCAAGGGUUCCUGUCCAACGUUAAUCGGGGCAGGGUGAGUCGACCCCUAAGGCGAGGCCGAAAGGCGUAGUCGAUGGGAAACGGGUUAAUAUUCCCGUACUUGGUGUUACUGCGAAGGGGGGACGGAGAAGGCUAUGUUGGCCGGGCGACGGUUGUCCCGGUUUAAGCGUGCAGGUGUGUGUUCCAGGUAAAUCCGGUUCACUUUAACACUGAGGCGUGACGACGAGGCACCACGGUGCUGAAGCAACAAAUGCCCUGCUUCCAGGAAAAGCCUCUAAGCCUCAGGUAACAUCAAAUCGUACCCCAAACCGACACAGGUGGUCAGGUAGAGAAUACCAAGGCGCUUGAGAGAACUCGGGUGAAGGAACUAGGCAAAAUGGUGCCGUAACUUCGGGAGAAGGCACGCUGACACGUAGGUGAAGUGGUUUACCCAUGGAGCUGAAGUCAGUCGAAGAUACCAGCUGGCUGCAACUGUUUAUUAAAAACACAGCACUGUGCAAACACGAAAGUGGACGUAUACGGUGUGACGCCUGCCCGGUGCCGGAAGGUUAAUUGAUGGGGUCAGCGCAAGCGAAGCUCCUGAUCGAAGCCCCGGUAAACGGCGGCCGUAACUAUAACGGUCCUAAGGUAGCGAAAUUCCUUGUCGGGUAAGUUCCGACCUGCACGAAUGGCGUAAUGAUGGCCAGGCUGUCUCCACCCGGGACUCAGUGAAAUUGAACUCGCUGUGAAGAUGCAGUGUACCCGCGGCAAGACGGAAAGACCCCGUGAACCUUUACUAUAGCUUGACACUGAACACUGGUCCUUGAUGUGCAGGAUAGGUGGGAGGCUUUGAAGUGUGGACGCCAGUCUGCAUGGAGCCAUCCUUGAAAUACCACCCUUUAAUGGCUGGUGUUCUAACGUGGGCCCCUGACCGGGGUUGCGGACAGUGUCUGGUGGGUAGUUUGACUGGGGCGGUCUCCUCCUAAAGAGUAACGGAGGAGCACGAAGGUUGGCUAAUCCUGGUCGGACAUCAGGAGGUUAGUGCAAUGGCAUAAGCCAGCUUGACUGCGAGCGUGACGGCGCGAGCAGGUGCGAAAGCAGGUCAUAGUGAUCCGGUGGUUCUGAAUGGAAGGGCCAUCGCUCAACGGAUAAAAGGUACUCCGGGGAUAACAGGCUGAUACCGCCCAAGAGUUCAUAUCGACGGCGGUGUUUGGCACCUCGAUGUCGGCUCAUCACAUCCUGGGGCUGAAGUAGGUCCCAAGGGUAUGGCUGUUCGCCAUUUAAAGUGGUACGCGAGCUGGGUUUAGAACGUCGUGAGACAGUUCGGUCCCUAUCUGCCGUGGGCGCUGGAAGAUUGAGGGGGGCUGCUCCUAGUACGAGAGGACCGGAGUGGACGCAUCACUGGUGUUCGGGUUGUCAUGCCAAUGGCACUGCACGGUAGCUACAUGCGGAAGAGAUAAGUGCUGAAAGCAUCUAAGCACGAAACUUGCCCCGAGAUGAAUCUUCCCUGAGCCUUUAAGGCUCCUGAAGGAACGUUGAAGACGACGACGUUGAUAGGCCGGGUGUGUAAGCGCAGCGAUGCGUUGAGCUAACCGGUACUAAUGAACCGUGAGGCUUAACCUUACAACGCCGAAG